RNAcentral lists this small RNA (79 nucleotides) under Mesonia maritima. Its description in RNAcentral is "Flavo-1 RNA". It matches the Rfam family "Flavo-1 RNA". Lineage: Bacteria; Pseudomonadati; Bacteroidota; Flavobacteriia; Flavobacteriales; Flavobacteriaceae. The record is from RNAcentral.
GUUUUGCAUUAGGGAUAGCAGCGACAUCCUUUUUUGGGUUUUUUGCCCAAAAAAGAUAUAGCGAAUAGCCCGACCCUGA